This 826-nucleotide ribosomal RNA is filed under the name Haptophyta environmental samples. RNAcentral's name for it is "eukaryotic LSU rRNA". It matches the Rfam family "Eukaryotic large subunit ribosomal RNA", at positions 133 to 1004 of the family's 3401-position model. The record is from RNAcentral. Lineage: Eukaryota; Haptophyta.
GCCCCCCGAAUUGUAGUCUAGAAAGGCGCCAUCGGGCACGUCCGCCGCUCAAAUCCCUUGGAACAGGGUAUCGGAGAAGGUGAGAAUCCUGUACCGUGGCGGUUCGUGCCCGCACGAUGCGCUCUUGCAGAGUCGGGUUGCUUGGGAUUGCAGCUUGAAGUGGGUGGUAAAUUCCAUCUAAAGCUAAAUACUGGCUCAUGACCGAUAGCGAACAAGUACCGUGAGGGAAAGAUGCAAAGAACUUUGAAAAGAGAGUUAAAGAGUGCUUGAAAUCGGCAAGAGGAAACCCGUUUGUGCCCGGCUUCGCGUUGUCGAUUCAGCCGCGCGCGUGCUUUCUGAGGACCGCAAGGCCUCUCUGCUGUAGCGCUCGGUGCACUUCGUCAGCGCGGGUCAGCCGCGACUAUGGGGGCGAGACAUCUCACUUGGCAGGGCUUCGGCGAGCCUUGUGCGGCGUCGCGCUCGUGGUCCCGGCUGACGGAACGGGCGCAACCGACCCGUCUAGAAACACGGACCAAGGAGUCUGACACAUGCGCGAGUACGCGAGUGGCAAGCUUGUGUGCGCAAUGAAAGUAAAGGGCAUGCCCUGCCAACCGACCUUGAUCUUCUGUGAAGGGUUUGAGUGGAGCGUAUCUGUCGGGACCCGAAAGAUGGUGAACUAUGCCUGGGUAGGAUGAAGCCAGAGGAAACUCUGGUGGAGGUCCGUAGCGAUACUGACGUGCAAAUCGUUCGUCGAAUCUGGGUAUAGGGGCGAAAGACUAAUCGAACCAUCUAGUAGCUGGUUCCCUCCGAAGUUUCCCUCAGGAUAGCUUGAACGCAACGGUUUUGU